Long non-coding RNA from Cucumis sativus (cucumber), 978 nucleotides. RefSeq lists it as uncharacterized. The record is from RefSeq and is a predicted model, not a curated record. The transcript is spliced from 2 exons. Lineage: Eukaryota; Viridiplantae; Streptophyta; Magnoliopsida; Cucurbitales; Cucurbitaceae.
ACCCAAAUCACCAAAUUCAUCAACUACUUGAUCUUAUCAGAGCCGGGACUGAGAAGUUGAGGAUGGCGGCUCCAUGGCUACUACCUGGAAUUUCCUCUCUUCCUAUCAAAAAUGGCGGAGCCACCCUCCCUUUUCUGCCAAGGCUGCUUUGGAGGCUCUGCCAUCGCUGAACAGAGAGAUCUACAGGGAGUUCUUGAGGAUGCUGUCUAUUUUCUAGCUAAACCAGGUGAUAAUCACUUCCUCGAUCAAAGAAAACAUGGCAGGAUAUAAAGAGACCCAUAAAAAAUCUUCAGAAGACAUGGCUGUGAAUAUGAGAAGAUGGACUAUCUUGUUGCUUGAUCUGGAGCAUGAAGAAAUUGUCCAAAUGGGAUCUUCAAUCAAUCUUUAAUUGUCUUCAAUGAUGAUUUACUGGAGGUCUUAACAGAUCGACGUUGGGUUUGUUCAUGGAUGGAACUAAAUUCAGAACGCCCAUCGAGUUUGUUCAUAGAUGGUACUAAAUUCAGAAUGCCCCUUGAGUUUGGUCAAUAGAUGGAACUGAAUUCAGAAGGGCCCCUUGGGUUUGUUCAUAGAUGGAACUAAAUUCAGAAAGCCAGAUUUGAGGAUGGAAUUCAGGGCUAGCUCAACUUCAGAAAAAAGUCAUUUCAAGUCUUCAUUAACUAAACUUAUAGAAAAUGAUUGAUUUGCAUGUGCCAAACUUUGUAUUUGUGGAUUUUUUAAUGUUCAACUGACUUGCGGCAUUGUGCUUGGAGUUUGAUGCCUAUUGCUGGGUUUUGAAGAUGUUGUAAUCUAACUAUGGUGGAGAUGUUCAUGACAUUUAUGUGUAAAAAAAUAGAAGGGAAUUUUGUACAUGGUUUAGGAACAUAUGACCUCUUUUUGGGGGAAGUGGAAUUUGUGCCCUACAAAAAUGAAUGAAUAGAGUCUAUUGGAAGAAUUGAAUGAGGAAUAAAAAACAAUAGAUAUAAUGCCAUUUUAUUUUAA